Molecule: unclassified non-coding RNA, 336 nt
Filed under: soil metagenome
Description: partial contains 5.8S ribosomal RNA, internal transcribed spacer 2, and large subunit ribosomal RNA
Rfam family: 5.8S ribosomal RNA (bases 1-120)
Source: RNAcentral
GAUGAAGAACGUAGCGAAAUGCGAUAAGUAAUGUGAAUUGCAGAAUUCAGUGAAUCAUCGAAUCUUUGAACGCACAUUGCGCCCGCCAGUAUUCUGGCGGGCAUGCCUGUUCGAGCGUCAUUUCAACCAUCAAGCCCCCGGCUUGUGUUGGGGACCUGCGGCUGCCGCAGGCCCAGAAAAGCAGUGGCGGGCUCGCUGUCACACCGAGCGUAGUAGCAUACAUCUCGCUCUGGGCGUGCUGCGGGUUCCGGCCGUUAAACCACCUUCAUAACCCAAGGUUGACCUCGGAUCAGGUAGGAAGACCCGCUGAACUUAAGCAUAUCAAUAAGCGGAGGA